UAUUCAUCAAUAAUAGUGGUGAGUCGUCAUACUUCUAAAACGAUUUGAUAUGUUUUACAUUCAGUCAUCCAUUUUAGUUUUAGUUUUGCUAGAGCUAGCUGGGGACAUGUCCCAGCAUCUCUAGUAAGUUAUAAGUUUUUAUUCAGGCUUGAUUUUUGUCAUUCCCCGAGGCUACCCCCUUGACGUAACAUGAGACCUAGGAUCACGAGUGACCGUCAGCUAAUCCUAAGCUAGAACAUCAUAAGCAUAUUAGAUAAGAAUAUAAGAUCAACAAUUUAUAAAACCUUUAAAAGCCUAAACCUAAGAAACCCUUUAACCUAAGAAACCCUAAAUCCUAUGAAACAAUAAAUCCUGAACUCUAAGAAACACUAAUUCCUAAGAAACACUUAACACUAAGAAACUCUAAAUUGUAAGAAAACCUAAAUCCUAAAAAAGCCACUAAACCUAAAAAAAGUCAUU
This 459-nucleotide long non-coding RNA is filed under the name Solanum tuberosum (potato). RNAcentral describes it as "long non-coding RNA (STUB_LNC000779)". Lineage: Eukaryota; Viridiplantae; Streptophyta; Magnoliopsida; Solanales; Solanaceae. The record is from RNAcentral.